AUCCCAGUUCGGAUCGCAGGCUGCAACCCGCCUGCGUGAAGUUGGAAUCGCUAGUAAUCGCGGAUCAGCAUGCCGCGGUGAAUACGUUCCCGGGCCUUGUACACACCGCCCGUCACACCAUGGGAGUCGGUAACACCCGAAGUCGGUAGCCUAACCGUAAGGAGGGCGCCCGCCGAAGGUGGGGAUUGAUGACCUGGGGUGAAGUCGUAACAAGGUAAC
This 219-nucleotide ribosomal RNA is filed under the name uncultured bacterium. Its description in RNAcentral is "partial 16S ribosomal RNA". It matches the Rfam family "Bacterial small subunit ribosomal RNA", at positions 1285 to 1500 of the family's 1533-position model. The record is from RNAcentral.